RNAcentral lists this ribosomal RNA (699 nucleotides) under Klebsiella pneumoniae. Its description in RNAcentral is "partial 23S ribosomal RNA". It matches the Rfam family "Bacterial large subunit ribosomal RNA", at positions 2103 to 2801 of the family's 2925-position model. The record is from RNAcentral. Lineage: Bacteria; Pseudomonadati; Pseudomonadota; Gammaproteobacteria; Enterobacterales; Enterobacteriaceae.
ACUAUAGCUUGACACUGAACAUUGAGCCUUGAUGUGUAGGAUAGGUGGGAGGCUUUGAAGCGUGGACGCCAGUCUGCGUGGAGCCAACCUUGAAAUACCACCCUUUAAUGUUUGAUGUUCUAACGUUGGCCCCUUACCGGGGUUGCGGACAGUGUCUGGUGGGUAGUUUGACUGGGGCGGUCUCCUCCCAAAGCGUAACGGAGGAGCACGAAGGUUAGCUAAUCCUGGUCGGACAUCAGGAGGUUAGUGCAAUGGCAUAAGCUAGCUUGACUGCGAGCGUGACGGCGCGAGCAGGUGCGAAAGCAGGUCAUAGUGAUCCGGUGGUUCUGAAUGGAAGGGCCAUCGCUCAACGGAUAAAAGGUACUCCGGGGAUAACAGGCUGAUACCGCCCAAGAGUUCAUAUCGACGGCGGUGUUUGGCACCUCGAUGUCGGCUCAUCACAUCCUGGGGCUGAAGUAGGUCCCAAGGGUAUGGCUGUUCGCCAUUUAAAGUGGUACGCGAGCUGGGUUUAGAACGUCGUGAGACAGUUCGGUCCCUAUCUGCCGUGGGCGCUGGAGAAUUGAGGGGGGCUGCUCCUAGUACGAGAGGACCGGAGUGGACGCAUCACUGGUGUUCGGGUUGUCAUGCCAAUGGCACUGCCCGGUAGCUAAAUGCGGAAGAGAUAAGUGCUGAAAGCAUCUAAGCACGAAACUUGCCCCG